GCGCAGAACCAUCCCUGGCAGGUGUUGGGGUUCAUCAUAGACCUUGGGUACAUAAGCCCUCGACACUUCGUCCUCGACACUAUAACAGACUCCAGCUACUACAGACAGGAUGAUUUUGCUGUUUUUGCUGUACCUCGCCUGCGGGGUCUUCGCUGCUGAUGUGGUGGACCCUAAGGACUGCACUGCCUUCCCCUGUAUGAUAUUCAGUGAUGACUUCGACUAUUUGGACCACGACGCCUGGGAGCAUGAGAUUACCAUGUCCGGUGGCGGGAAUUGGGAGUUCGAGGUUUACGUGAAUAACAGGAGCGUGAGUUACACCAGAAAUUCAACAUUGUUCAUUAAGCCGGGUCUCACAUCCGAGUGGAAAUCUGAAGAGUUCCUAACUAGUGGUGAUCUCAAUCUGUGGGGAAUGAACGGACGGGGAGACGUGUGCACCGGCAACUCCUACUACGGGUGUAACCGGGUCGGCACCGCCACUAACAUCGUCAACCCCGUCACAAGCGCCAGGCUGAGGACCUUGUCUGACUUUGCCUUCAGGUACGGCCGCAUCGAGAUUCGAGCCAAGAUGCCUAGCGGGGCCUGGUUGUGGCCAGCUAUGUGGUUGUUGCCUAGAAACUGGCCCUAUGGUCUAUGGCCAGCCAGUGGUGAGAUUGAUAUUGUCGAGUCUCGCGGUAACAGUGACUAUGGCACCCUAGGAAACCAGUAUGGAAGCACAACACUCCACUGGGGACCUUAUUGGCAACUAAACAUGUACCAAAAGACUCAUACUAAAUACCAAGCUCCCACUGGAUCCUAUGCUGACAAUUUCCACACAUGGAGAAUGGAUUGGACCAAGGACGACAUGAAGUUCUAUGUGGAUGAUGAGCUCAAGUUGACAGUGGACCCCUUCACUAACUUCUGGGACUUUGGUGGUUUUGGAGACUCCUAUGAUAACCCCUGGGCUGCUGGUGGUAAGAUGGCUCCUUUUGACCAGAAGUUCUUCUCAUCCAUCAGUUCUACAUUGUCUUGAACUUGGCUGUGGGCGGCACCAAUGGUUUCUUCCCAGAUGAUGUGCCGAGCAACCCACCCAAGCCCUGGAGCAACGUCUCCCCUCAAGCCUUGCUUGACUUCUGGAAUGGACAUUCCUCCUGGUUGCCCACCUGGGAACAAGGUGAAGGACGCAUCAGUGAGAAGGCAGCUCUUCAAGUGGAUUAUGUAAAGGUGUGGAAGAUGGAAAACAUCGACCAAUAACUUGUCUUCCCAAG
RNAcentral lists this unclassified non-coding RNA (1244 nucleotides) under Homarus americanus (American lobster). Its description in RNAcentral is "beta-1,3-glucan-binding protein-like, transcript variant X4". The record is from RNAcentral. Lineage: Eukaryota; Metazoa; Arthropoda; Malacostraca; Decapoda; Nephropidae.